CACGUAGGGAGCAAGCGUUGUCCGGAUUUAUUGGGCGUAAAGAGCUCGUAGGCUGUUCGAUAAGUCGGGUGUGAAACCUCCAGGCUCAACCUGGAGACGCCACCCGAUACUGUCAUGACUAGAGUCCGGUAGGGGAGCGUGGAAUUCCUGGUGUAGCGGUGAAAUGCGCGGAUAUCAGGAGGAACACCGGUGGCGAAGGCGGGUCUCUGGGCCGAUACUGACGCUGAGGAGCGAAAGCGUGGGGAGCGAACAGG
RNAcentral lists this ribosomal RNA (254 nucleotides) under uncultured bacterium. RNAcentral's name for it is "partial 16S ribosomal RNA". It matches the Rfam family "Bacterial small subunit ribosomal RNA", at positions 524 to 776 of the family's 1533-position model. The record is from RNAcentral.